Molecule: non-coding RNA, 357 nt
Organism: Coturnix japonica (Japanese quail)
Lineage: Eukaryota; Metazoa; Chordata; Aves; Galliformes; Phasianidae
Source: RefSeq, a predicted model, not a curated record
GGACUCCUCUCUGGCUGCUCCUCCUGGAGGAGAUGCUGUGUGCUGAGCUUCAAGGUCAUGUAGAAAAAGGAUCAAUCCUCUAGACCACGGGUUGAGAAUCAAAUUGCCUGUGUGCCCUGAAGUCUGAGAAUCAAAUGAAGAAGUUUACCACGUGGAGACUUCAAAUUUUACUUGAACUAAGUCUAAAAAAUGACCAGAGAACUUUUUACUGUGAUUUUUGCCAUAUGGAUCACAGAAGAUCCCUGAAUAGGCGCUACCUGGAGCCUUCCCACUGUUGAGCAGAAGAAUUACUUUGUUUCUUCACUCUAUGUUUUGGGUAUCCAUGCUUAAUGCAUCUGAGCGUGGCAUUAAAUAUUA